UACAGAGGCCUCGAGCGUUAGGCGGAAUCACUGGGCUUAAAGCGUGUGUAGGCGGAUUGGUAAGUACCUUGUGAAAUCCCACAGCUUAACUGUGGAACUGCUCGGUAUACUGCUGAUCUUGAGCCACUCAGGGGCUACCGGAACAAAUGGUGGAGCGGUGAAAUGCGUAGAUAUCAUUUGGAACGCCAAUGGUGAAAACAGGUAGCUGGGGGUGUGCUGACGCUGAGACACGAAAGCCAGGGGAGGCAAAACGGG
RNAcentral lists this ribosomal RNA (255 nucleotides) under uncultured bacterium. Its description in RNAcentral is "partial 16S ribosomal RNA". It matches the Rfam family "Bacterial small subunit ribosomal RNA", at positions 524 to 776 of the family's 1533-position model. The record is from RNAcentral.